RNAcentral lists this ribosomal RNA (253 nucleotides) under uncultured bacterium. RNAcentral describes it as "partial 16S ribosomal RNA". It matches the Rfam family "Bacterial small subunit ribosomal RNA", at positions 524 to 776 of the family's 1533-position model. The record is from RNAcentral.
UACGUAGGGUGCAAGCGUUGUCCGGAAUUAUUGGGCGUAAAGAGCUCGUAGGCGGUCUGUCGCGUCUGCUGUGAAAACUCGGGGCUUAACCCCGGGCCUGCAGUGGGUACGGGCAGACUAGAGUGCGGUAGGGGAGACUGGAAUUCCUGGUGUAGCGGUGAAAUGCGUAGAUAUCAGGAAGAACACCUAUGGCGAAAGCAGCUCUCUGGGACGGUACUGACGCUGAGACGCGAAAGCGUGGGGAGCGAACAGG